RNAcentral lists this unclassified non-coding RNA (2019 nucleotides) under Hevea brasiliensis (rubber tree). The record is from RNAcentral. Lineage: Eukaryota; Viridiplantae; Streptophyta; Magnoliopsida; Malpighiales; Euphorbiaceae.
AGAGAGAGAGAUGGGAUCUCCUCUUCUGGGUAUUUUUCUCUUUUCAUUCCUGAACUUGUGUCUCCUCCAAGAGCUUGCUCUAGCUGCCACAACCAGGCAUUACAAGUUUGAUAUUAAGUUGAAAAAUGUGACUCGGGUUUGCAACACCAAAACCAUUCUUACUGCAAACGGGAAGUUUCCGGGGCCUCGCAUCGUAGCCAGAGAAGGCGAUCGCCUUGUUAUAAAAGUGGUCAACCAUUCUCCAAAAAAUGUUACCAUUCAUUGGCAUGGUAUUCGACAGCUUCAAAGUGGAUGGUAUGAUGGUCCAUCUUACAUAACACAGUGCCCCAUUCAAACUGGUCAGACUUAUGCAUAUAAUUUCACCAUUGUUGGCCAAAGAGGAACUCUAUUUUGGCAUGCACAUAUUACUUGGCUAAGAGCCUCUCUUUAUGGCCCCAUUGUCAUUCUACCCAAACUAGGUGUCCCUUUUCCAUUUCCCAAACCUUAUAAGCAAGUUCCCAUCCUCUUUGGAGAGUGGUUCAAUGCAGAUCCUGAUGCAAUAAUUAACCAGUCCCUCCAAACAGGUGCAGGCCCAAAUGUCUCUGCUGCCUAUACCAUCAAUGGACUUCCAGGGCCACUGUAUAAUUGCUCUGCCAAUAAGGACACAUACAAGCUGAAGGUGAAGCCUGGAAAAACUUACCUUCUUCGCCUGAUCAACGCUGCUCUCAAUGAUGAGCUCUUCAUCAGCAUUGCAAAUCAUACAGUCACAGUAGUUGAAGCUGACGCAUCUUAUAUCAAACCUUUCGAGACCGAUACAUUUCUGAUAACCCCAGGACAGACAAUGAAUGUUCUUCUCAAGACCAAACCCUUUUUCCCAAAUGCCACUUUCUUCAUAGCUGCAAGACCAUACGCAACCGGCAGUGGCACAUUCGACAAUUCCACUGUUGCUGCAAUUCUUGAAUACGAUUCACCAACAAAUACUGCCUUUCCAUCUAUUAAGCGGCUUCCUCCAUUAAAACCAACCCUACCCUCUCUCAAUGACACUCCCUUUGCUUUUGAUUUUUCAAGAAGACUCCGUAGCUUGGCGAGUGUUAAAUAUCCUGCUAAUGUGCCACAGAAAGUGGAUAAACAUUUCUUUUUCACUAUAGGUCUAGGAACCAGUCCCUGCGCUAAAAACCAGACCUGCCAAGGACCCAAUGGAACCAAGUUUUCUGCUUCUGUGAACAACAUAUCCUUUUCUGUACUCCCUACCUCAGCCAUGCUCCAAUCUUACUUUUUUGGGAAAUCCAACGGUGUUUACACAACAGAUUUUCCUGUCAAGCCAAUAAUUCCGUUCGAUUAUACGGGGACUCCACCGAAUAACACUAUGGUGAUUAAUGAAACCAAAGCUGUGGUUCUGCCAUUUAACACUAGUGUGGAAGUAGUGUUGCAGGACACCAGUAUUCUUGGUAAUGAAAGUCACCCUCUCCAUUUGCAUGGUUAUAAUUUCUUUGUUGUAGGUUCAGGAUUUGGGAACUUUGACCACAACAAUGACCCUGCAAAUUUCAACAUUGUUGAUCCUGUUGAAAGAAACACGGUUGGUGUGCCUUCCGGCGGUUGGGUGGCAAUCCGAUUCCUAGCAGAUAAUCCCGGGGUGUGGCUAAUGCAUUGUCACUUUGACGUUCACCUAAGCUGGGGUUUGAGAAUGGCUUGGAUCGUUUUAGAUGGAGAGCUUCCCAAUCAGAAAUUGCCUCCUCCUCCUGCAGAUUUACCCAAGUGUUGAUUUCCCACUCCAUAUGGCCUUGCACAAAUUUUCUAAUUGUGUAAUUUAUUGAUUCAGCAUUAGGCCUUCCAUGGCCUAUUAAAAAUUUUCUUUUUUUGUUUUAUUUUUCAAACUACAUCUUCUCCUUUUUUUUUUGGAUAAUUCCUAUUGGAGGGAAUAAAAUGAUUUUGUUUUUCUUCUAUUGAAUGAUUCCUAUUGCCCAAGAGUUGUUUCACCAUUCCCCACAGACUACUGUAUCUCAUUAGUGAAUAAAUAUGACGAGUGAAAUUUUAUUGUUG